Molecule: non-coding RNA, 29 nt
Filed under: Rattus norvegicus (Norway rat)
Lineage: Eukaryota; Metazoa; Chordata; Mammalia; Rodentia; Muridae
Source: RNAcentral
UAUCAAAUCCAACAUCCAGAUGAUCCUGC